ACUAGCGGGAGGGGGCCGGGCUAGCGGGCUACUGGGCUGCGGAGACCAGAGCCCGGCUCCACUGAAGAAACCCGCCGGCUGCUGGGGCAGGGCGGCGAAAGGUCAGUCGGCCGAGAGGAGUCCGUGGAGCCACCGUUUCAUAGCCUCAGGGAAAGGAUCGGGCGUGCUCACGAGCCCUCUAACCCAUGGCUUAAACACCCGCUUCCUAAGCCUGGAUGGAAUGAUAGGGUAUGCAUAAAUGUUCAUGUGGGCUCUGGAGUAUACCAGGAACUGAAGUAAGGUACAUGGACGUCUUGAAUAUUGUAACUGAGAUGGGCAAGCCUACACCUUUGCAAAUAAAGGAGGAUUGGGAAAGAUUAAGCCUCUCAAGCACUGUGAAAAAUCACUUUCUCUUGUUGUAUUCUUGGAGCCCCUGCUAAUUCAUUAUUGAAAAAUACCUGCUGCCUGCAUUUGGCCUUAUGUUGUCAUUUACUUGGUACUUCCUAAGCGUGGCUACUCCAAUGAAGCUUUAGUAUAUGUACUGAAAGAAGAUCCUCUCAUACUGCCACAGCCAAGAGAUAAGGUUGUAAAUCUUUAUUGGGAGAAGCCGUCAAGGACAGUUCUGUGAAAUGAAAGGAUCUCUGGAUCACCACAAAGUCUGGCUCAGUGACUAUGGCUUUGCAAACACUAAACAUUCCUGUCUCAAGUCCUGUAGAUGGCUUGAAAUAGUAUACAUAAGCAUGCCUUAUAAACAUCUUCAGUCUUUAUCAACUCUUUGGAGAUUCAGCCAUUCUUUUUUGUACUUUAGGGAAUUAAAUCAUUUUAUAAUGUAUAAAUCUGAGCAUGGCCGAUGGCAGAAGAAAUUUUGUCAUACGUUUUUAAAGAAAUAAAAAUGUAUUAUGUUUUAAAAUUCCUUUAACUGUUUUUCUUACAAAAUUCCCAACAACUUAGUUACCAAGUAAACUAUCUCAGAUAUGAUUUUUCAGUCCUUGCUAAUCUAUUUAUAAAAUCUUUUGCUAUUUU
RNAcentral lists this long non-coding RNA (1002 nucleotides) under Homo sapiens (human). Its description in RNAcentral is "HSALNT0294252". Lineage: Eukaryota; Metazoa; Chordata; Mammalia; Primates; Hominidae. The record is from RNAcentral.